Molecule: transfer RNA, 54 nt
Filed under: Crassicauda magna
Lineage: Eukaryota; Metazoa; Nematoda; Chromadorea; Rhabditida; Tetrameridae
Also listed under: 1 other name
Description: tRNA-Pro
Source: RNAcentral
AGCGAUUUAGUUUAUUAGAAUUUAAUUUUUGGGGGAUUAAGGUGGAUUUCGUUA